Molecule: ribosomal RNA, 1668 nt
Filed under: Salmonella enterica subsp. enterica serovar Paratyphi A
Lineage: Bacteria; Pseudomonadati; Pseudomonadota; Gammaproteobacteria; Enterobacterales; Enterobacteriaceae
Description: 16S ribosomal RNA
Source: RNAcentral
UUUUCAUCAGACAAUCUGUGUGAGCACUGCAAAGUACGCUUCUUUAAGGUAAGGAGGUGAUCCAACCGCAGGUUCCCCUACGGUUACCUUGUUACGACUUCACCCCAGUCAUGAAUCACAAAGUGGUAAGCGCCCUCCCGAAGGUUAAGCUACCUACUUCUUUUGCAACCCACUCCCAUGGUGUGACGGGCGGUGUGUACAAGGCCCGGGAACGUAUUCACCGUGGCAUUCUGAUCCACGAUUACUAGCGAUUCCGACUUCAUGGAGUCGAGUUGCAGACUCCAAUCCGGACUACGACGCACUUUAUGAGGUCCGCUUGCUCUCGCGAGGUCGCUUCUCUUUGUAUGCGCCAUUGUAGCACGUGUGUAGCCCUGGUCGUAAGGGCCAUGAUGACUUGACGUCAUCCCCACCUUCCUCCAGUUUAUCACUGGCAGUCUCCUUUGAGUUCCCGGCCGGACCGCUGGCAACAAAGGAUAAGGGUUGCGCUCGUUGCGGGACUUAACCCAACAUUUCACAACACGAGCUGACGACAGCCAUGCAGCACCUGUCUCACGGUUCCCGAAGGCACAUUCUCAUCUCUGAAAACUUCCGUGGAUGUCAAGACCAGGUAAGGUUCUUCGCGUUGCAUCGAAUUAAACCACAUGCUCCACCGCUUGUGCGGGCCCCCGUCAAUUCAUUUGAGUUUUAACCUUGCGGCCGUACUCCCCAGGCGGUCUACUUAACGCGUUAGCUCCGGAAGCCACGCCUCAAGGGCACAACCUCCAAGUAGACAUCGUUUACGGCGUGGACUACCAGGGUAUCUAAUCCUGUUUGCUCCCCACGCUUUCGCACCUGAGCGUCAGUCUUUGUCCAGGGGGCCGCCUUCGCCACCGGUAUUCCUCCAGAUCUCUACGCAUUUCACCGCUACACCUGGAAUUCUACCCCCCUCUACAAGACUCAAGCCUGCCAGUUUCGAAUGCAGUUCCCAGGUUGAGCCCGGGGAUUUCACAUCCGACUUGACAGACCGCCUGCGUGCGCUUUACGCCCAGUAAUUCCGAUUAACGCUUGCACCCUCCGUAUUACCGCGGCUGCUGGCACGGAGUUAGCCGGUGCUUCUUCUGCGGGUAACGUCAAUUGCUGCGGUUAUUAACCACAACACCUUCCUCCCCGCUGAAAGUACUUUACAACCCGAAGGCCUUCUUCAUACACGCGGCAUGGCUGCAUCAGGCUUGCGCCCAUUGUGCAAUAUUCCCCACUGCUGCCUCCCGUAGGAGUCUGGACCGUGUCUCAGUUCCAGUGUGGCUGGUCAUCCUCUCAGACCAGCUAGGGAUCGUCGCCUUGGUGAGCCGUUACCUCACCAACAAGCUAAUCCCAUCUGGGCACAUCUGAUGGCAAGAGGCCCGAAGGUCCCCCUCUUUGGUCUUGCGACGUUAUGCGGUAUUAGCCACCGUUUCCAGUAGUUAUCCCCCUCCAUCAGGCAGUUUCCCAGACAUUACUCACCCGUCCGCCACUCGUCAGCAAAGCAGCAAGCUGCUUCCUGUUACCGUUCGACUUGCAUGUGUUAGGCCUGCCGCCAGCGUUCAAUCUGAGCCAUGAUCAAACUCUUCAAUUUAAAAGUUUGAUGCUCAAUGAAUUAAACUUCGUAAUGAAUUACGUGUUCACUCUUGAGACUUGGUAUUCAUUUUUCGU